This 3185-nucleotide long non-coding RNA is filed under the name Citrus sinensis (sweet orange). RNAcentral's name for it is "long non-coding RNA (CSIN_LNC004107)". Lineage: Eukaryota; Viridiplantae; Streptophyta; Magnoliopsida; Sapindales; Rutaceae. The record is from RNAcentral.
UUAAAUAGCACAAUAGAAGUCUCGUAUAAAUAUGAGUAGACUUCUAAUUGAAUAAUACAAUACCAGUGAUUCAAAAAAAAAAACAAAGAAUAAAAUUUCCAAACUCAAAGACCCCGUUUGUGAAGAUUACAAAAACUCAUUAAAAAAAAAAAACAAAAACCAAGAAUAUGCAGCAAACAACGACAUUAAAAAGGGUUUAAAAUAAAAAAAACUGUACAAAACAUAUUUUAUCAACACAAUACUUAGCAUAUGGUUGUGUAUGAUUUUCUCAGGCAAAACAGCAGCUACACCACCAACAAUUCAAAGGGUUCGAUAAAAAGCCAGCAUGCCGUAUCAAAACUUCGUCCCUUGCACUUUGGAGUGAUCCGUGGCAACAAUAACAUAAUGAAAACACUGCAUCCUUCAAAAUAAUUAGAACCUAAAUCAAAAUGGAUCUGUCAACACCAUCUGUGUUGAUCUUCCAUGGAACAAAACUGGCAUGCAUCUGCAAUCUACUAAACCAGCAAGCAUUCAUUUCAAAUAGCAAAGAAACUCCCAUCUUUAAGUAGACUUGCUACUAAUUAAAGGUAUGAUCAAAUAUCAUUUCCUGAGAAAAUAAAGAUUAAAAAACUUUCAUUAGUUCAUAAGAACAUGCUGUGCACAACACACCAACAGAAACCUACAUAUUCAAUUGAAUCCUCAAAAAUACACAUCUAAUUAGCUCAAAAGUUAUUACAUUUGAAAGUACAUGUAUCUCAGUAAUUCAAUAAUUCUCUUCCUUCUAAAAAUUCUAACUUCUCAGAUGAAAGAUUACUGUAAAAUGAUGCAGAAUGUGCAUGAUUUUAUGGAGAAAAGAGAAACGGAAGGAACAGGCUCUUAAUUAUAAGGCAAUUAAACAAGAGAAUUGAAAAAAAAAACACCUAGUUAUUGCACAUACAAGUAAUUGCAAGAAGCAAACCUGAUCAAAUAUGGGGCAGGAUUCACUUCUUUCAUUCCACUCCAAAAUGCAAGAUAGGUGGAAAUGAUGUUCACAUUUUGUGAUAAGUUUCGGAUUCUCUGUAUCAUACUCUGCAAGCGGAAGAACCCAUAAUUUUAAGCAUUAAUUAUGAGCUGCUCGACUUCACUGUCUAUUCCUUGACUUCACUGCCCAUUCACCUGCAAAUUGGCAUAGAGUAGAUAAUAGAAUUAAAGAACAUAAAAAACUAAAUAAACCACACCUUCAAGACAAAUGGGACAAGUGUCCUCCUCUUCUGAUGCUGCUAACACAUUUAAUUGUGAAACUUCAGACUUCCUUGGUGAAGCAAUCAAAGAACUAGCUUGAGUUUUGCAGUCUGCAUCCUCAAAAUCUUCACACGUAGCUAAUGUUUUAUUUAAAAUUUUGACAAAAAUCUUGAGUUAUUAACUUAAAUUAAUUAAGGUGUAUAAGAAUUGGGAAUAAAUUGGCAUGUUACUUGAUAGCUACUAUGUUGGACUUGGUUCGGCCUGCCAGUGGCGUGCUUCGAUAUUAAACCAAAGGGUGGAACUUUUAACACGCAGCGUGUGAAAAUGGAGUUUUUUUUUACGCGCUACUAAAAUCCUUAUAACAUCCAUUUUGAUUUUUUUUUUUCCUGAAAUAUCUCAUUUUAUAAAAUAAAAAUUAAAAUAUUAAAAAAAAUCAUCUUCUCAUCAAUAACACAACCAAAAAUAGAUAUUAUCUAUUUCUUUAAGUUUUUAUUUAUAAAAUAUAUACAGAUUCUAAAAUCUUAAAAAAAUUUAUUCUCAUUAUAUCAUUGCUAUCUCCAUAACUCUAAGCUCUUAUAAUUUUGUCAAAAAAAAAAUUUUCAAUUAAAAUUUAAAAUACAGAAAUAUAGUGAAAUGGGGUGAUGUAAAAAAUUUGUUAAGAGAAUAAAUUAUUUAAGCAUUGAUUGAAUUUUCAUUUAAAAUAAGAAAUGAAUUAAGCUAUCUUUGAUCAUUUUUAUAAUUUCAAUAAAAAAUGGUUUUCUGAGUAAUUUUGAAGGGUGUCAAAAGUCCUAGUCGAAGCCAAAUUUUUGACACCAACGACAGUGGACUUGCGUUCAGUAAUUGAGUGAUUGUCGAACAGCAUUAACGAACUCGGUACCAAUUUCACUGAAUUUCAAUCUAAACAGUAAUGUAAGUGAUUUGAUUACUUAGAGUAUACCCUGUACGUAAGAAAAGAAUCUACUGGGCAAUAGAUUGAAUAAAAAAAAAAAAUCAAUUUUUAUUUUCUACUAAUCCGUGAAUAAUAUUCAACUAUACCUAAAAGAAUUUAAGGGAAAUGAAUGUGAUAACACAUUAAAAAAAAAAAAAAAAGAAUUAGCAUUGUGGUUUCUAAUUAUAGAGAUUUAUUAUUGACGCUCCACAGCAAUUAUACCUAUCAAUUCUAAGAUUAUCAAUUAUGAGCACACAAUUUACAUCAAUUAAAUUAUAAAAUUAGGUUUCUGUAAUUGGCUAUGAGAGUUUAUUUUCUUUGGUUUUCUAUAUUAGUUUGGGCUCAUAAUUUCUAUGGCUUGUGUACCCGAAAUUUAUUAAAUAUUGUCAUAAACACAUAGACAACAAAUAGUCUCUUCGAGCCUCUUCGAAAGAGACUUUGCGUAUCAUAAUACAACUCUAAGCUAUGUUAUAAUACAACUUGAUCUAGGUAGUUCAGUAAAUGUCUUAUGUAAAUAUGAGUAGACUUUUAUUUGGAUAAUAUAAUAUUAGUGAUUCAAAAAAAAAAAAAAAUUUCCAAACUCAAAAGACCCCGUUUGUGAAGAUUACAAAAACUCAUUAAAAAAAAAAAAAAAACAAAAGCCACGAUUAUGCAGCAAACAACGUCAUUAAAAAGGGUUCAAAAUACAAAAACUGUACAAGACAUAUUUUAUCAACACAAUACAAGGCAAAACUAUGUUUUCAAAUUUUCAUACUUAGCAUAUGGUUGUGUAUGAUUUUCUCAGGCAAAACAGCAGCUACACCACCAACAAUUCAAAGGGUUCGAUAAAAAGCCAGCAUGCUGUAUCAAAACUUCGUCCCUUGCACUUUGGAGUGAUCCAUGGCAACAAUAACAUAUCGAAACACUGCAUCCUUCAAAAUAAUUAGAACCUAAAUCAAAAUGGAUCUGUCAACACCAUCUGUUUAUCUUCCGUGGAACAAAACUGACAUGCAUCUGCAAUCUACUAAACCAGCAAGCAUUCAUUUCAGAUAGCAAAGAAACUCCCAUCUUUAAGUAG